GAAGAAAAUGGCUGAGAACCAGCAGCUGAAGAAAGUUUCUAAAGACUCAGCAGGGGUUAGAGUUAGAAGGCUCUGCCACUAACAUCAAUAACAGGAUCUGUGACAACACUUGGAGAACAUUUCCACCGUGCUCGCCAAGAAGGAUUCUGAACAUUCAGAGGCUGAAGCUCCGACUGAAAGAGAGCUAUGGCAAGAAAAUGUGAAUGAAGUCACAAAUGCCACCAAGGAAAAGCAGAACAGAAAAAUAACUUGAGUAUUCAAGAUGGGCAGACUAGUUCAAAGACUCAUCAAGCCUUGUGAAGGGGUGACUCCGAGGCAUGGCAGCACAUGCCUGUUGCCCCACCACGCAGGCAGGUGGUGAUGAAUUCUACACUAACCUUGGCUACACAGUGAGACACUGCCCCCAAAACAGAAACAAAAAGCAAAAAGUUUCUCAGUGAACCUCAGAAAAGGUUCCUAAAGUAACAAAAGAAUCAAAAUAUGCCCUAACUCACCCCAAAUGCCAAGAGCCUUGCUAUUUUUAGUAAGUACCUCCAUAAAAUGCACUGUUCCCCGCCCCCCCCCCCGAAAACCAAGGCCAGAGAAGUUGCUAAGUGUCAAUCCCACCACACCACAUUUCUUACAUCUGCCCUGUCCUCUCCACUCAGCACCAGUGUUAACAAAGUGUGGCCAAUAUUUUCAUGACAUUUUUCUCUCCUUUGAUUCUUUGUUCAUUUGCUUUUAUUUCAUUUUUGAGACAGGCUCAGAUGCUGCCCAAGCCAACCAGAAUUUACCAAGUUCCAAGAAUGACCUUAAAUUCCAAAUCCUUCUGCCCCCAUCAUCUGAGUGCUGGGUUACAGUUGUGUAUCACCACACCUGCCUCUCACCUGGGUCUUUAAAACAAAAGACAGAAGAAGGAAAGGAAGGAAGGAAAAGAAAGAAAGAGAGAGAGAGAGAGAGAGAGAAAGAAAGAAAGAAAGAAAGAAAGAAAAGAGAGAAAGGAAGAGGGAGGGAAGGAAGGAAGAUGAGAGAGAGAGAGAGAGAGAGAGAGAGAGAGAGAGAGAGGAGAGAGAGAGAGAGAGAGAGAGAUCUUCAUUAACCAUAAAAGCCAGGGAUCAAGUAAAGCCUGGCAGCAUAAAUAACAUAAAUUCAAAAUAGUUGGCAUUUCAUUCAGUCCACAAAAGAGCCUUGGCGUAACACUGAUAAUUUUACAUUUGAAGUUCUCAGGUGUAUCCAUUUCUAAGUACAGAGGUGAUCUGUGGUGUUGGCUGACAAGUUAUUCCUAUCUAUCUUCAGUGGAAAAAUCAAGGUUUCACACCAAAAUGACAGCAUAAAGUCCCACACGUGUGGCUUCUAAGCUUAAAAAGCCUAAGAUGAAACUUCCCCUGAUCCUAUCAUCAAAAUAAACACUUACUAUAUUACCAAAUAUUACACAUCUAAGAUCCAUCACUUCUGCUUUAAAUGCCUUGCCCUUUUACUGGGGUACUUUAUUUGACAUGUGUCUAUGGUACAAAGACAAAUUCCCGUCGGCUUGAUAAGGUGCCAGAGCUCGCUUAGAGGUUAAGAAGGAGCCGUCCAACUGUUUUUCUUCCACUGAGGGUUACAUGAGAGAAUCGGUAGCGCUUGUUGAAAGAACUUUACCUGUGGAUAAUAGCCCUUAUCUCACCGCUAUCUAUCAUGCUAUCAAUUUCUUUAUUACAGGAGUUUACCUUCGGGCAGCUCAUACACCAGCUGUCAAUCUGUCCUCACCCUGAGACAGCAAGCCAAGCUCAGGUGUGUAGCGGCUCCACCAGAAAAGAGUAUUGGCCUUCUUUCCCCCAGUGAACAGCUGUAGCCAAAAUGCAGCCCCUGGCACUCCAGCUGUACUGUCACAAGGCGGGGCUAGGAAGGCUCUAAUUCUUGCCUCCCAGAUCACAUACUUUACAACUGAAGAGCAUCUCAGUUUUGCUCUUUAUCCUAUUUUAACCUUUGCCAACUCCUGGUCCUUCACUAAAGCAUUUAAAACAGCAACUGUAAAAAGCCUUGACACUUCAAAUGUCCAUCAGCAGAGACCUGCUUGAAUAGAAUGACAUUCCAUAAAACCAACUACUAGGCACUGAGAAAGGGAAAAAGAAAAGGGGUGGGGGAGGGGAUGGAGAGGGAGGGACAUGGAAAUGCUUUUAAGUAACAAUGGGGAAUGAUUUUGAAGAUAUAUUGGGGGGAAUGGGAGAUGUGCAAAAUGGAGCAGUAUCUUUUGUGUUUGAAAAGGUAGAAAAGCAUAAUUACUUCCAUACUCAUGUAGAGACUCUGAAGAUGACACUCGGAUCCACUAACAGGAGAACUGUGCAUGAAACCAGCAAGAUGACAGGCAUGCGAAAGAGGAGUCUCAUGACUGCCUUUCUCAUAUGUUUUAUUUUUGAACUGUAUAAAUAUGUAUAACCUAUUCAGAGAAAGGAAAAACGGUAGGAUGCUAAAAGAAUGGAAACAUAGACCAGAAAGUCUGGCCAUGGGCAAUGUAGUUUGAAAGAAUAUCUGUCAAUAAUUCAAACAAUGAAAUUUUAGUUUUUAAAAUUUUUUUUAGAUUUAUUUUAUGUGAACGAAUGCUUGCCUGCAUGCUUGUACGUGCAUCAUGUGCAUGCUUGAUGCCCAAGGAAGUCAGGAGAGGGUGGAUCCUCUAGAACUGGAUGGUUACAAAUGAUUGUGAACCACUGUGUGGGUUCCCAGGUUCUCUGCAAGGUCAACAAGUGACCUCCACUGCUGAGCAAAGGUGAGUAGAGCUUCCAGCUCUACCAACCCCUGGCUUUGCCAGGCCUGUGUGCAGUAUUUGACCACCCAGUGCCUGCUCCAUUAUCUGUGCAAGAGUUGGAAGUAAGCUUGAGAAAGAAGGGUCAGGGACACCGCAGGAAGAGCUUCAGAGUCAACUAACCUGGGUGCGUGGGGGAAGCCCACAGAGACUGGAUGCCAACCAAAGAGUCUGCAGGGGCUGGACCUGGGCGCCCUACACGUUUGUAGCAGAUGUGCAGCUUGGUCUUCAUGUGGGCUCCCUAACAAUCGCGCCAGGGACUAUCUCAGUCUCUGUUCCCUGCCUUUGGAUCCCCUUUCCCUAGAUGGACUGCCUGGUCAGGCCUCAGUGGGAGAGGAUGUACUUAGAUGGGUUGGUACCCAUGGGGGGCUUCCCUUCUCUGAGGAGAAGAGGAGAGGGUAAUGGAGGAG
Long non-coding RNA from Mus pahari (shrew mouse), 3171 nucleotides. RefSeq lists it as uncharacterized. The transcript is spliced from 4 exons. The record is from RefSeq and is a predicted model, not a curated record. Lineage: Eukaryota; Metazoa; Chordata; Mammalia; Rodentia; Muridae.